AAAAUUAGACCCGCAUAUACAGGGAACAGGACCAGAGGCUUUAGCCUGAUCCGCAUUUAGAAGACAUCUAAAGAUGAUUGAUGACUAGCUCAGGAUGCAUAAUUCAGUCCCUUUCUGGAGCAUCACCAGUUGCUCUUCUUGCACUCAGGUUUCCCGUAUAUGACCAUACCCUCUCAAAAUCAGCAGCUGCCAACUUUUCGGUCUUUGAUUCCGUUGCCUGAGCAUUCUUCUUCACAGCUAAUUUUUGCAUAGGUCGCCUUUUCAGGUUUUCAACCUAACGAGCUUAACAUCUACCCUGCUUUAUUAAUGUCUUAUUACCUAAAUGUAAAUUAUAAAUGUCACAUCCAUACAUUUUUUUAAUUGACGUAUCACAAUUUUAUUGGUUGGGACAAGAAAUGAGACAACAUUUUGUGAUAAGGGAAAACCCAUUAAAAAAAGAUAAAUCUUUAUUAAUGGACUUUAGACAAAUCAAAUCAUAGUAGUAAACUCACACCUCCCAGUCCUAACCCAAAACAUGGCUUUACAAUACUUACAUUGAUUUCAAUCCAUUUUUAAUUAGUUUGAGAUCAUCACUUGCAUUUAUAUUUCCAGCUCCAUUACUAAUAUUUAAUAUAAUCCUUCAACAAGAGCUUGCUCAGCAGUACAAGUUUACCAACUAAGACACCAAGUAGUUUCAAAUACUUCACACCCCAAUAGAAGUAUAGAAACAUAAAGCCUGAUGUAACUCUUCUGGGUGUUGACCAUUUGUGCAAAAGGUUUGCUUGUUGGAGAAUUGUUGCUAGUUGCUAGUUGCUAUUUUAACAUUUUUCACAUUAUUGUUUUCCGAUUAAAACAGUACAUUCUGGGACAUGGGAUUCAUUGUUAUACCUGUUUCAACCGGACAAUAUUAAUGACUGUCAUGGCAGUGAAGUAAAGGAAGGGCACAUGACUAUUGCUGAAUCAUGUAUGGGUUAUAUAGUCUAGAACUCUAUUUAGCAUUUAUAGCAGACCAUCUUAGCAACAGGACUGACCUAUAGAAAAGUGGACUUUUAUACUAGUGAGGAAACGUUUUUAACUGAUGAUCCAUUGGCAUAAUGCAUGUUUGGAAUUAUUCUACAAUUGAUUCUAAAGCCAAAAUCUCUUUUGGAGAGAAGCUUAUGUGAGUAGCUUCUGGAUUCCAAAAUUGAUUCUGAAGGAAAAAAAACUGAUCCAAACAUGCUAAUAAUCUUUCAACAUAAUCCUACUCGUGCUACCUACGAAUAUACAAAAAUUAGACCCGCAUAUACAGGGAACAGGACCAGAGGCUUUAGCCUGAUCCGCAUUUAGAAGACAUCUAAAGAUGAUUGAUGACUAGCUCAGGAUGCAUAAUUCAGUCCCUUUCUGGAGCAUCACCAGUUGCUCUUCUUGCACUCAGGUUUCCCGUAUAUGACCAUACCCUCUCAAAAUCAGCAGCUGCCAACUUUUCGGUCUUUGAUUCCGUUGCCUGAGCAUUCUUCUUCACAGCACGUGUCCUCCGCGGACUGCAAGGGCUCCCGGAAACAGGAGAGGAGGAGCAGAAUGAUG
RNAcentral lists this long non-coding RNA (1542 nucleotides) under Lotus japonicus. RNAcentral's name for it is "long non-coding RNA (LJAP_LNC001728)". The record is from RNAcentral. Lineage: Eukaryota; Viridiplantae; Streptophyta; Magnoliopsida; Fabales; Fabaceae.